Molecule: long non-coding RNA, 815 nt
Organism: Mauremys mutica (yellowpond turtle)
Lineage: Eukaryota; Metazoa; Chordata; Testudines; Geoemydidae
Exons: 5
Source: RefSeq, a predicted model, not a curated record
CUAGAAUGUCUUAGGCAUAUUACUGAAUAAUUGUCUGUUAUAGGGGCUUCAUGAUUUUUCUCUGAAGCAUCUGGAACCAAGCACUCUUGGAAGCAUGCUACCAGACUACAUGGACCAUUUGUCUGAUCUGGAAGGGCUGCCCGUGACUGGCAGUUUCAACCACCUCUGUAUCUCUAUGGAGACAGCCAACCCUUAAGGCAAAGACUGGUAAACAGGAUAUCUCAGAAAAGACAUCAUUGUUAAUCAGCUACGACUUACGUUAAGUUGGCUCUUAUGGAAAGGGAGCAUUAGGCUACGUGAACUGCAAUUAUUACAUACAUUCGUGCUGGUGAGAUAUUGAAUUAACCAUUCUGGAGACUGAAACCCUCAGUUUUACAUAAGAGGAAAGGGUAGCAUGCCUGUGAAGUUCCCCUACCCUAGCUCAAGCCUGCUUUAGGAUGACCACUUCUAGAGGCAAGUAGGUAGCUCCUGCUUCUGGCACUUUGCUCAUCAUGGGGAGAGCUGUUCCUGCUCAUGGGGACUGUAAUUGGCUGCACAAGGAUGAAGAUGGCUUUCCAUCCCAUCAUGCACCUGCACAAAGGCUAAUCAGAAUCUGGUCCGUUGUGCACACCUCACUCCUCACGUAGUGCAAACCAACGAAGUCUGGCUCCCAAUUUCAGUACCACCAACCCUCAGCAUAGAAAAUCUUGGAUCAGACCCCAAAAGUCAUGAGGAUUGACUUCAAAAAAAUAAACUUGGGAUGCUCUUCAUUUGCGUUCUGGUGCUUGAGCCUUUUUGGCUCACAUUUUCAAAGUUUCUCUGCAACCCUCAGGAUA